This 492-nucleotide ribosomal RNA is filed under the name uncultured bacterium. Its description in RNAcentral is "partial 16S ribosomal RNA". It matches the Rfam family "Bacterial small subunit ribosomal RNA", at positions 29 to 507 of the family's 1533-position model. The record is from RNAcentral.
AGUGAACGCUGGCGGUAGGCCUAACACAUGCAAGUCGAACGGCAGCACAGUAAGAGCUUGCUCUUACGGGUGGCGAGUGGCGGACGGGUGAGGAAUACAUCGGAAUCUACUUUUUCGGGGGGGAUAACGUAGGGACACUUACGCUAAUACCGCAUACGUCCUACGGGUGAAAUCGGGGGAUCUUCGGACCUUGCGCGAUUGAAUGAGCCGAUGUCGGAUUAGCUAGUUGGCGGGGUAAAGGCCCACCAAGGCGACGAUCCGUAGCUGGUCUGAGAGGAUGAUCAGCCACACUGGAACUGAGACACGGUCCAGACUCCUACGGGAGGCAGCAGUGGGGAAUAUUGGGCAAUGGGCGAAAGCCUGAUCCAGCCAUGCCGCGUGGGUGAAGAAGGCCUUCGGAUUGUAAAGCCCUUUUGUUGGGAAAGAAAAGCAGCAGGUUAAUACCCCGCUGUUCUGACGGUACCCAAAGAAUAAGCCCCGGCUAACUUCGUG